This 467-nucleotide ribosomal RNA is filed under the name uncultured bacterium. RNAcentral's name for it is "partial 16S ribosomal RNA". It matches the Rfam family "Bacterial small subunit ribosomal RNA", at positions 28 to 507 of the family's 1533-position model. The record is from RNAcentral.
GACGAACGCUGGCGGCGUGCUUAACACAUGCAAGUCGAACGAUGAAGCCCAGCUUGCUGGGUGGAAGAGUGGCGAACGGGUGAGUAACACGUGAGUAACCUGCCCUGAACUCUGGGAUAAGCACUGGAAACGGUGUCUAAUACUGGAUACGACCUAUCACCGCAUGGUGUGUGGGUGGAAAGAUUUAUCGGUUCUGGAUGGACUCGCGGCCUAUCAGCUAGAUGGUGAGGUAAUGGCUCACCAUGGCGACGACGGGUAGCCGGCCUGAGAGGGUGACCGGCCACACUGGGACUGAGACACGGCCCAGACUCCUACGGGAGGCAGCAGUGGGGAAUAUUGCACAAUGGGCGCAAGCCUGACGCAGCAACGCCGCGUGAGGGAUGACGGCCUUCGGGUUGUAAACCUCUUUUAGUAGGGAAGAAGCGAAAGUGACGGUACCUGCAGAAAAAGCACCGGCUAACUACGUG